UUGCUACUUUGCCGGCGAGCGGCGGACGGGUGAGUAAUGUCUGGGAAACUGCCUGAUGGAGGGGGAUAACUACUGGAAACGGUAGCUAAUACCGCAUAAUGUCGCAAGACCAAAGAGGGGGACCUUCGGGCCUCUUGCCAUCAGAUGUGCCCAGAUGGGAUUAGCUAGUAUGUGGGGUAACGGCUCACCUAGGCGACGAUCCCUAGCUGGUCUGAGAGGAUGACCAGCCACACUGGAACUGAGACACGGUCCAGACUCCUACGGGAGGCAGCAGUGGGGAAUAUUGCACAAUGGGCGCAAGCCUGAUGCAGCCAUGCCGCGUGUAUGAAGAAGGCCUUCGGGUUGUAAAGUACUUUCAGCGGGGAGGAAGGCGGUGAGGUUAAUAACCUCAUCGAUUGACGUUACCCGCAGAAGAAGCACCGGCUAACUCCGUGCCAGCAGCCGCGGUAAUACGGAGGGUGCAAGCGUUAAUCGGAAUUACUGGGCGUAAAGCGCACGCAGGCGGUCUGUCAAGUCAGAUGUGAAAUCCCCGGGCUCAACCUGGGAACUGCAUUCGAAACUGGCAGGCUAGAGUCUUGUAGAGG
This 584-nucleotide ribosomal RNA is filed under the name Pantoea sp. ERR564. RNAcentral describes it as "bacterial SSU rRNA". It matches the Rfam family "Bacterial small subunit ribosomal RNA", at positions 78 to 657 of the family's 1533-position model. The record is from RNAcentral. Lineage: Bacteria; Pseudomonadati; Pseudomonadota; Gammaproteobacteria; Enterobacterales; Erwiniaceae.